RNAcentral lists this ribosomal RNA (429 nucleotides) under Gemmatimonadota bacterium. RNAcentral describes it as "Gemmatimonadetes bacterium partial 16S ribosomal RNA". It matches the Rfam family "Bacterial small subunit ribosomal RNA", at positions 355 to 776 of the family's 1533-position model. Lineage: Bacteria; Pseudomonadati; Gemmatimonadota. The record is from RNAcentral.
UAGGGAAUCUUCGGCAAUGGACGAAAGUCUGACCGAGCAACGCCGCGUGAGUGAAGAAGGUUUUCGGAUCGUAAAACUCUGUUGUGAGAGAAGAACAAGGACGUUAGUAACUGUACGUCCCCUGACGGUAUCUAACCAGAAAGCCACGGCUAACUACGUGCCAGCAGCCGCGGUAAUACGUAGGUGGCAAGCGUUGUCUGGACUUAUUGGGCGUAAAGCGAGCGCAGGCGGUUUCUUAAGUCUGAUGCGAAAGACCCCGGCUCAACCGGGGAGGGUCAUUGGAAACUGGGAGGAUGUAGUGCAGAAGAAGAGAUUGGAAUUCCAUGUGUAGCGGUAAAAUGCGUAAAUAUAUGGAGGAACACCGGUGAAAAAGGCGGCUCUCUGGUCUGUCACUAACGCUGAGGCUCGAAAGCGUGGGGAGCAAACAGG